This 2555-nucleotide long non-coding RNA is filed under the name Gallus gallus (chicken). RNAcentral describes it as "long non-coding RNA NONGGAT002166". Lineage: Eukaryota; Metazoa; Chordata; Aves; Galliformes; Phasianidae. The record is from RNAcentral.
GGUGAUCUUGGAGGUCCUUUCCAACCCAACCGUUCUGUGAUCGUUUUGUGCUCACUGUCUGGUGGUCUCAUCGAGGCAGAUCCCGCGCCACAUGAAAGUGCAACAUAACACAGCAGAGGGCUGUUCUGAAAUCCCCUCCCCAGCUCCCAGCCAGCUCCACCUGAGCCCCUGCACCUCAGCUUUGCCCAAUGCUGGAUGUGACUAAAAACGUCACUUCUAAGGGCAAAAGCAACGCGGUUCCUCCUCCACCUCUGCUGACCAUGAAACCUCAGCCUCUACUCUUUUAAUGUCCUGUGCCUGAACUUGCUGCCAGCAGGUCAAGGGGAACAUAAUUUACUCAGGCUUUGAUGCAUUUGAUACAGGUUGGGGUGAGAGGCGGGGGGAGGGAGGUUGCCCAGGAUGGGUUGGAAGGUGCCAGAGCCCUCUGCUAACCGUGAGGUGCUGCCUGGGGGGGCUCCUCGCAGCGGGUGGGAGGCAGCAGGCAUUUGUCUGCAGGCCCCUUCUUAUCUCCUGCUCUGAUGAGGAGAUUGGGAAGGAGGGGAGGCUCUGCCUGUGCUCAGUGCUGCCUGGAGAGGUUUCCGAGUGCUCAGGCUACAAACCCUGAAACACUGUGCACCCCCCCCCCGACUCCUGCCCCUCUCACUCCUCCAGCGACCGCCCUCAGCCACGUGCUGCUCGGUGUAGGACUUUCUGUAGGUACAGGAGCCGCAUCCCAUCCUGAAGCAAAGUGGGAGCUGACAGAUUUUGCAAACAGCCCCUCCCGACGGCACUGUUUUUGGAUUACAGCCUGCACCUCACUAUGAGCACCGCGCCAGAGACUGAUGCUUCCCAGCACAGGGAGAGGAAACCGAGGAAAAACACAGCACCCCCAGCGAGAAGAGGUGCCCAGGCUCUGCCCUGACCCACUGCUGUUCAGCAGGAGGAAGCAAAGUGGUGUGACUGCUGUGGUUUCAGUUCUCACCCCACCUCGCUGCCCAGGAGCCAGGACCGUGGCUUAGGAGAGGAAAAGGUCCUUUGAGCCAACCUGCUCUGGGGGGCUCCCCCAGCCCUACGGAGGGGCUGGAAAGAUGAGGGCCUGGAAAAGCAGGGCACCCCUGCAAACCCCACUCCGGUGUAUUGAUAUUCAGUGCAGAGUGAGGGGUGUAAAUUCAGAGCUAUCUCCUCACCGCUCACCGUUUAUGCCGUUCAUUUCACAUAGAUGUCACUACUGCCUUAUAAGCACUCCUCCGAGCCAGCCGCUUAAAUGGACCCAGUGCAUUAUAGUAAUGGAGUAACUGUAUAAAAACAAUGAAAUCCAAUCUCUUUAAACUGAUUUGAUGUCUGCCUGAACCACAACAUUUCCUGCUAAUGGCUUCCUUCAUUUUGUAACCGUGAUCUCCACCUGAUCAGAUUACAGCUGUUUUUAAUUACAAAGCUAAUAGAGUUUGUAGGCAGUGUCGGGAGGAUGGCGCAUGCCCCAGGCAGAGAGGAGCUGGUGGGGGCUUGGGGUGGCUGUGCUGACAUUCAGCCUAUGGAGCAGACUGUCAUAACACCAGGAUGGGUACAGCUGGGAGGGAUGGGGACAGAAUAGGGAUGUUGGUGCCAUCUGACUGCUACAGCUGAUGGGGCAGGAAAAAGCACUGAGGGUGACUGACAGUGGAAAAAGUCCUCAAGAUUGAUGUCUUUCUUAUGGGAUAGCACAGCCAGCUGCAGGGUUGGAUUCCUCCAUCUCAGCCUGGAUGGUUGAGAUGGGGAGCAUCUGUGCGGCUCAUCCUGGCCCCCCAAAGGCCUCGUUUUGUCUGGCAGUUGGUUUGUUUGCUGACUGCUCCAUUGCUGUGGGUUAGGAGCACAGAGCAGAGUAGCCGUGGGGAGAGAAGCAGUCUGAAAUCUGUUCCCAGAUGGUGAUGGCCGGGGAUGUUUGAUGCCCAGAAAACACUGUGGUGUGUUAGAGAUGCUUCUGAGUAGCCCAUGCUGGUGUUUAGGAUUCGGCUGAUGUUGGGCUCAGCUGAAAAAUGUCAGCAGUGAAGGAGAGCAGCAUCUCCAGCUCGCAGCCAAGUCCUGCUGUGAGAAUCUCCCAUUUGGGGUGCUGGAGUUGCUCACGUGCCCACCAAGGCACAGUGGUGAGCGAUCCACUCCCAGCAGCUUGGGCAAGGGGAGGACAAGGCAGGAGGAACCCCAGAGCACCACGGGGAAGUUCAUGCUGCUGAGACCUGCUUUGGAGCUGCUCCCACCGCCUGCUUCAUCGCACUGCUGAGGACGUUCAUCCUCCUCUGCCUUGGUGCAGGAGCUGCAUGUGCCAGUGACACCAACAUGAGCUGCCAAAACACCAAACACCAACAGCCAGUCCUGCCCGGGUGAGCGGAGCACGAGGACACACCAUCUCCUCCCCAUAACUUGGCACUCUGAGGUUAGCGAGAGCGUUCUCAGAGCAAACCCCAUCCUACACGAGCCGUUGCUGGUGAGACCCACCUGCGUGCGCUGCGCUGUGGAGCAGGAUCAGCACUGCCAUCCAGGCUCUGCCUGUGCCCGAUGCACAAAACCGUGUGUUUGAGGAAGUACUUCUGGAGUUUGAAAAG